Molecule: long non-coding RNA, 626 nt
Organism: Daphnia carinata
Lineage: Eukaryota; Metazoa; Arthropoda; Branchiopoda; Diplostraca; Daphniidae
Exons: 5
Source: RefSeq, a predicted model, not a curated record
UGUUUUGAUUGUGUUUUGGAAGUCAACCAGAUGAAAUAGAUUUCUUAUUUUUAACGAGAUCAGCUAUGCCAGCUGUCAAACACAAAGCCUGGCAGCAUAUUCUGGCUUUUGCGUUCAAUCAUGUGAUAAGAUUACUCAUUUAAAGCACUUUAUCCAUUCAGCAACUAUCAGUUCGGAUCUGGCAAAGGUGGUUUAUACCUCUGUGUCGUGUGGCCAACAAAAAUUACCACCGUUUCAGCAUCCAGCGUCUUCCUGCCAUUCCUACCUAACAAACCAACACACAUAGACAUGGACCCCAAAACCAUUUUCUUGUGGACUGCCAAGUCUUUACUUUCUUCAUCGUAAUUCCUGGCCCCACUAUCUUUUUAGUCUUCGAGUAACAGCUAGCUAGGGCAUUUUCCUUUUCUUUCCCAUGUAAAAAGAUCUUCAAGAUUCUGAUCUCUGAGUAUUAACUCUCUCAAGCCAUCUAAAAGUAACGCCAUGACAGCAAAAUGAAAAAAAGUGAUGGAAUGCCGAAUAGUAAAUAAGCAGCGGCCUGUAGGAGAUCAUCGUGGAACAUCGUGCAAAAUGUUGUUAUAUGGCCCGUCUUCGCCUCGUGUUCGCGCCGUCUUCGCCUUGCCCGUCGC